AGCAGCCGCGGUAAUUCCAGCUCCAAUAGCGUAUAUUAAAGUUGUUGCAGUUAAAAAGCUCGUAGUUGAAUUUCGGGGUUAGCAGGUCGGUCGUGCCAUCGGUAUGAACUGGUCUCGCUGAUCCCUCCCUCUUGACGAACUGUGAUGCCAUUAAUUUGGUGUCGCAGGGAAUCAGGACUGUUACUUUGAAAAAAUUAGAGUGUUUAAAGCAGGCUCACGCUUGAAUACAUUAGCAUGGAAUAAUGAAAUAGGACGUUUGAUCCUAUUUUGUUGGCUUCUAGGAUUGACGUAAUGAUUAAUAGGGAUAGUUGGGGGCAUUAGUAUUCAAUUGUCAGAGGUGAAAUUCUUGGAUUUAUUGAAGACUAACUACUGCGAAAGCAUUUGCCAAGGAUGUUUUCAUUAAUCAAGAACGAAAGUUAGGGGAUCGAAGACGAUCAGAUACCGUCGUAGUCUUAACCAUAAACUAUGC
RNAcentral lists this unclassified non-coding RNA (469 nucleotides) under uncultured Glomus. RNAcentral describes it as "SSU rRNA". It matches the Rfam family "Eukaryotic small subunit ribosomal RNA", at positions 569 to 1042 of the family's 1831-position model. Lineage: Eukaryota; Fungi; Glomeromycota; Glomeromycetes; Glomerales; Glomeraceae. The record is from RNAcentral.